GGAUUGAUGAUGAAAAUAACUGUCUGAGGAUGCUGAAUGGCUCAUACAAAUAGCAAUGUGAGGUCC
This 66-nucleotide small nucleolar RNA is filed under the name Neotoma lepida (desert woodrat). RNAcentral describes it as "Small nucleolar RNA SNORD109A". It matches the Rfam family "Small nucleolar RNA SNORD109A". From Rfam's summary of the family: Humans have two copies of the SNORD109 gene, SNORD109A and SNORD109B. Lineage: Eukaryota; Metazoa; Chordata; Mammalia; Rodentia; Cricetidae. The record is from Rfam by way of RNAcentral.